GGAGGGUUAGCCUAACUGGUAAGGCAGCGGAUUUGAAAUCCGCCGUCCCUCACAGGACAUGGGGGUUCGAGUCCCUCACCCUCCG
Molecule: transfer RNA, 85 nt
Filed under: Candidatus Omnitrophota bacterium
Lineage: Bacteria; Pseudomonadati; Candidatus Omnitrophota
Description: tRNA-Ser
Rfam family: tRNA
About the family: Transfer RNA (tRNA) molecules are approximately 80 nucleotides in length. Their secondary structure includes four short double-helical elements and three loops (D, anti-codon, and T loops).
Source: RNAcentral